CUCCCAGCGCCGUGUUCACCUGGACUAACCUGCUGGUGGUGGUGUCGGAGCUGUGCGGCUCGGAGCAGGACGCGCUGGACCUGGUGCCUCUGAUCACCAACGUGGUCUGGAGGAACAUCACCUGAUUGUGGGCGUGGUGGUGAUCGUGGACCCCGGCGUCAUCCCCAUCAACUCCCGCGGAGAGAAGCAGAGGAUGCACCUGAGAGACUCCUUCCUGGCCGAUCAGUUAGACCCCAUAUACGUGGCCUACAACAUGUGACGAGAACAUCUCCAGACCUUCACCUGCUUCACGCUCAGAUUGAGUUCUCAUCAUGGGCUGGGAAGUACAGCUUACACCCAGGCUGCUUCUCAUUUCUUAUUCGUGCGUCCUCGCCCCCUUUCCUCACGUCUUGGCUCCUCCCCCUCAGGAAGUUAGGAUGAAAGGAACCCAAGCUAGUCGAAUGGAACAUCCUCGCUCAGAUGGAGGACCCCGCUGAGCUUCAGGGAUCUGCUGUUAUGUUAUUGGAGUUUGAUUAAUAAUAAUGUUCUUAAUAAAGCUAAAUGCGCUGCUAGCAUGUGAAACGUCUGCGUUAUUCAACAAUGAAUUAAUAAACGAUCGUAUCUUUUGUGCGGCUGUGCCGGUCCGAAUCCACGAGGAUCGAUUCAUUACAAUGCUCGCUGUAAGCAUAUCAUUAUUUAGUUAUAUUUCACACGAAAUUCCAUCACGUCUUCUUUUUGUGUGAGAUUGUGUCAGAGGUAGAGGCGGAGGGGAGUUUAUACGUGCGUCAGGUCGCUCCUCGCCCCUCUGGAAGUUUCCUCGUUCCUCGCUGUGCAGUUAAAGAUGUUUGAUGUAGAUCACGGGUCACGGGCUGGAGGACGGAGGAGCGAGGAAGCAUCAGUUUGAGUAUCGACACGCAGCUCUUAACAUUUCCUACUACACCCUACUUCCUGUCCAGAACUCAAAUUGGUCACUUCCUGCCUGGAUACAAGAAGAUAUGAUGUUAGAGAUUAUAAAUAAAUAAACAAAUAAAUAGACAUUUUCAGAUAAAUGCAACGUUUGGGUUGAUGUAUAUGUGCAGCUUCCUGUUAAGCAGAGUAGGAUAUCAUAUCGUCUCGUAUGUAAAGAACAUUAUUAACUCUGCUCUUAUUUCAUUUCCAACUAAAGAGGCGGGACGCGGAGUGCUGGAGAAGGAACGGUAAAAAUACAGGCUGCGUCUCGAUACUCAAACCGAUGCUUCCUGGUUUCCUCGCUCCGCCGUCCUCCAGCCCGUGACCCGGAAAUCGAUCGGCGCGGUCAUUAAUGGUUCCUCUCUCCUCGCAGCUCAUCCUCGCAUCACGUCCUGAGGGGUGGAGCUAAGUUGCGAGGAAAGGAAACGAGUAUGCAGAAAUUGCUGAUCCCCGGACGAUCGUGUUUUUAAACCCGAAUGAAGGAGCUGAUUUUACAGUAAUGGUGUUUAGGGGCGUUGAGUACAGCGUGUGGUGCUGAGUUCAGACUGAAAUUCUGAUAUCGGUUCAGCGGUCUCAGUUCAGCGCGGUUCUGAUCCGAGGUGUAGGUAGAACCGUUUAAAAAAAAAAAAAAAAAAAAAGAUCCUGCUCACGCUCACUCUUGUGAUUGUUUUAUAAAGAAUUACGGCUGCUUUCAGACGAUCAGCGUUUUGCUCGCGGCUCGCCGUACCGAGCGUUUUUACUGCCAGGUUUAAGCGCGGAUACGCCGUCGAGAUGCACGUGAAAACAUAGAUCGUUCACAGAGCUAGCUCAUCCUGCGUGCGUGCUUCUAAACCUCAGAGCAAAUACGGAGAAGGGUUGCGUAUUGAGUCAUGAUAAGAAAUCAUGAUAAGAUGAUAAACACGGCUACUGAGGAUGAGUGAAGCAGCUGGUGAACGAGUGCUUGGUCAGCUUAUCCUUCAACAUAACAUAAACAUCGGCAUUAUCUUAUUCAUUCUAAUAAUACAAAUACUGUGAUAAAGUCUCUUAUAUCCUCUGCACACACACUCUCUCACACGCGCACACACACACACUACAAUUUCAUGUUCUCGAUUACUGUCUCCCAGCUCCAUUAAGUUGUGUGCACGAGUAACUGUCACGAUAUAAAAAAAAAAACCCUAAAAAGUAAUAUAAUGAUAGGAUGCGCUGGAUAAAGUGCUAUUUUAUAAUCUUCUGGAAGCCAUAUUGUUAAAUGAACCCGAAUCUGCGGUGAUAAAUUACGUCAUACGUUUUUACUGAUGAUAAACGAAUCAACGCACUAAACGAGGCGUUACGUAUGCGAUGUCAAAAGAGUCUCGUAAAAUAACUUUUUACUUUGAAUGUGCCGAGUUUUGAGAGUUUUUAGCGCUGUAGUGUUUAUGCAACGCGAUAAAAUACAUCACAAAAGUUAUUACACACAGCAUGGUAAAGAUCAUUUCUGUUUGGUUUUAUGUGUGUGUGUGUGUGUGUGAGAGAUUUAUUUAGAUAAUGUUUAUGUAUAUUUUAAGUGAAAUCUGAGGAACAAGGUUGCCAGGUCUGCAUAUAAAAUCCACCUAACACCCAAACAAAUGCCAAAUCAGCAUCCUCGUGCAUUAUCUUGUUUAUUAAAUGUAGUAAUUAAUAAAUGAUGUGUAUGAGAGGAAGUCGGGAUGUGUCGGGUGAUUCCAUGGAGAUGAAUCUGAGGGUCAGCUAAUUAUUUUUAUUUUGAUAUAGAGGGUACGCAUGCCACGCCCGCUGAGUGGCAAAGACUCUGAGCGGCAGCAUUAGUGUACAGCGUGAAUUCCACGAAAACACAGAAUAAACACCUCUAAAAUGGGAAAAAGCUGCUGUGCGAUCGCCUGCUAACAGAUUCAACAAGAAUUCAGACCUAUCUUUUUACAGAGUGACAAAAUAGCAUUCAGUCCUUUUUUACUCAGUCGAGCGGUGUAAGUGUAAGAUCUUCUGGCGCGUGGUGUUCAUGGUGUACGAUGAUGAAUAAUUUGCUCCAUAUUUCUUUUUAAACGCUGCCUAUUUCCACUGAUGAAUAACGGAGACUCGUUCAUUCUCCGACUGUGUUUUACUUCACAGAUAUAUAACGUUAGGAAGUGGAAGCAGUGUUAGCUACAAACAAACUAGGACUAGCUAGUCCACAUACCUGUCCACAUACAACCAGAAUGUUUAUUGGUGUUCUUGUCUCUUUAAUUUCUCCAACAAACCCCGCCUUGAAGUAGGACCGAGCGUCAAGGCUUUUGUUUGCCUUCAGGCUUUGCUUAGUGUAUUUCCCCGGCGUCGAAUUCAGGUACAUAUAAAAGUCGGGAAAACCGAUUUCUGGCCACAUGCCAAUGUCCAUGGACCACAGGUUCUUGGGCAAGUUGUGAGGGUCACUGUCGAGUCCAACUGCCUUUCAUUUACGCUGAUAAUCGUGAGUUAUACUAGUGUUUUCACAGCUUCACCUAUUAAAUCCAGCCAUCUUGCUGGAUGUUUUGCCGCUCAGUCGGCCGAGGGGGCGUGUCCCGGUGGGAAAGUGACGCCAGCGCAUACCCUCUAUAGAGAUAUUAAUCAUCUAAAGGACUUAAAAUUCCUGAACCUGGCAACCCUGCAGAAAAGGCUUUCCCGCCUUUUCCUGAUAAAAUGAAAUGAGCGUGUUGCAUUGUGGGAUACGCUAACAAACACACACACACACACACACAGAGCACUAGAUCAGGAAUCUGCACUAUACACUACAGUAGCAGUACUAAUACAGUAACGUCUCAGAUCACGUUAUAAAUAAAUCAAAGAUUUUGCACUAAACUAUAGAACACUUUUCUACAGCUUUAGGACAUCAUGUGAUCACACUGUUCACACUAAAGGUACACCGUUUGAGACACAGCCCAUGACCUGAUAAGAUUCUUCUCUUGUGUUUUAAUUUAAUAAUAAUACUACUACUACUACUACUACUAAUAAUAAUAAUAAUAAUAAUGAUGAUGAUUUCGUGCCACUAUAUUGCGGUGUAUGAAUGUGCACGUCAUGAUUAUUAUGCAACCCUCUCCUCCCUGUUCACUUUCUCCUGUUUCAUUUUGUACAUUGGUUUAAUUCCUAUUUUAUAUUUAAAUGGAAAAAAAAAGAAUAAAAGGCAUUUAUUUUGCAGCAUUCAUGUGUUACAGAGUGGUGAAGUAGCCUGAAGGUUUGGAAUCUGAAUUAUAAUGACAGUAAUUAUACUGCAGAAAAGAAAAUGUGAAGAAGUUGGAGACCAACAAACAUCAAACAUGGUGAAGACUUAUAAAAGUGACGUCUGAAAAAACAAACAAACAAAACAGAAAUGGCUGUACAGUGACUCCAGACUGAUCCACAGUGAUACACUGCAGUUAUUCCCACGUUAUAGCGCCCCCUACUGGCCCAAUGCUAUUUAUACAGCAUGCUGACUUGGGCCGAGUUCACGAGUUUAUUUGAACAGUUGACACUGUCCCAAAGCAGCUUUACAGAAACAUAUAAUUUCAU
Long non-coding RNA from Ictalurus punctatus (channel catfish), 4398 nucleotides. Lineage: Eukaryota; Metazoa; Chordata; Actinopteri; Siluriformes; Ictaluridae. The record is from Ensembl.